RNAcentral lists this ribosomal RNA (244 nucleotides) under uncultured bacterium. Its description in RNAcentral is "partial 16S ribosomal RNA". It matches the Rfam family "Bacterial small subunit ribosomal RNA", at positions 67 to 339 of the family's 1533-position model. The record is from RNAcentral.
CGCAGUAGCAAUACUGAGUGGCAGACGGGUGAGUAUAAUGUGGGAAUCUGCCUUGUGGUUCAGGACAACAUUGGGAAACCGAUGCUAAUACUGGAUAAGCCCUUACGGGGAAAGUUUUAAUGCCAUAAGAUGAGCCCGCAUUUGAUUAGCUAGUUGGUGAGGUAAAGGCUUACCAAGACAGCGAUGGGUAGGGGCCCUGAGAGGGGGAUCCCCCACACUGGUACUGAGACACGGACCAGACUCC